AGCGAACGCUGGCGGCAGGCUUAACACAUGCAAGUCGAGCGGGCACUUUCGGGUGUCAGCGGCGGACGGGUGAGUAACGCGUGGGAACGUGCCCUCUGGUUCGGAAUAACUCAGGGAAACUUGAGCUAAUACCGGAUACGCCCUUUUGGGGAAAGGCUUGCUGCCGGAGGAUCGGCCCGCGUCUGAUUAGCUAGUUGGUGAGGUAACGGCUCACCAAGGCGACGAUCAGUAGCUGGUCUGAGAGGAUGAUCAGCCACACUGGGACUGAGACACGGCCCAGACUCCUACGGGAGGGAGCAGUGGGGAAUAUUGGACAAGGGGCGCAAGCCUGAUCCAGCCAUGCCGCGUGAGUGAUGAAGGCCUUAGGGUUGUAAAGCUCUUUUAUCCGGGACGAUAAUGACGGUACCGGAGGAAUAAGCCCCGGCUAACUUCGUG
RNAcentral lists this ribosomal RNA (435 nucleotides) under uncultured bacterium. RNAcentral's name for it is "partial 16S ribosomal RNA". It matches the Rfam family "Bacterial small subunit ribosomal RNA", at positions 29 to 507 of the family's 1533-position model. The record is from RNAcentral.